Molecule: regulatory RNA element, 94 nt
Organism: Erysipelotrichaceae bacterium MTC7
Lineage: Bacteria; Bacillati; Bacillota; Erysipelotrichia; Erysipelotrichales; Erysipelotrichaceae
Rfam family: pemK RNA
Source: Rfam
AUAAUGAUACUCCACCUUUGGACGUCCGAGCGUGAUAAGACCGUCGCAGGCUAAAUAGGUGCUUCCUUGAUUGGGAGCGGUGAAACUCCAGUGA